GAUGGGUACAUGCCUAUAGUCCCAGCUACACAGGUGGCUGAGGCAGGAGGAUUGCUUGAGUCCAGGAGUUCCAGGCUAUAGUGCAAUAUGCCUAUUGGGUGUUCACACUAAGUUUGACAUCAAUAUGGUGACCUGGAAAUGGGACCAACAGGUUGCAAGUACUGAUCAGUACUGAGAUUGUGCCUGUGAAUAUUCACUGCCCUCCAGUUUGGGCAACAUAGUAAGACCCCAUCUCUG
This 237-nucleotide small RNA is filed under the name Marmota monax (woodchuck). The record is from RNAcentral. Lineage: Eukaryota; Metazoa; Chordata; Mammalia; Rodentia; Sciuridae.